This 460-nucleotide ribosomal RNA is filed under the name uncultured bacterium. RNAcentral's name for it is "partial 16S ribosomal RNA". It matches the Rfam family "Bacterial small subunit ribosomal RNA", at positions 338 to 795 of the family's 1533-position model. The record is from RNAcentral.
CCUACGGGAGGCUGCAGUGAGGAAUAUUGGUCAAUGGACGAGAGUCUGAACCAGCCAAGUAGCGUGAAGGAUGACUGCCCUAUGGGUUGUAAAUUUCUUUUAUAUGGGAAUAAAAUGUUCCACGUGUGGGAUUUUGUAUGUACCAUAUGAAUAAGGAUCGGCUAACCUCGUGCCAGCAGCCGCGGUAAUACGGAGGAUCCGAGCGUUACCCGGAUGUAUUGGGUUUAAAGGGAGCGUAGGUGGAUUGUUAAGUCAGUUGUGAAAGUUUGGGGCUCAACCGUAAAAUUGCAGUUGAAACUGGCAGUCGUGAGUACAGUAGAGGUGGGCGGAAUUCGUGGUGUAGCGGUGAAAUGCUUAGAUAUCACGAAGAACUCCGAUUGCGAAGGCAGUUCACUGGACUGAAACUGACACUGAGGCGCGAAAGUGUGGGGAUCAAACAGGAUUAGAUACCCCAGUAGUC